UACAGAGGUGGCGAGCGUUAUUCGGAAUUAUUGGGCGUAAAGGGCGCGUAGGCGGCUUGACAAGUCCCGGGUGAAAUCCCCUCGGCUCAACCGAGGAACUGCCUUGGAAACUGUCUGGCUUGAGGCCGGGAGAGGGUAGUGGAAUUCCCAGUGUAGCGGUGAAAUGCGUAGAUACUGGGAGGAACACCGGUGGCGAAGGCGGCUACCUGGACCGGUUCUGACGCUGAGGCGCGAAAGCGUGGGUAGCAAACAGG
Molecule: ribosomal RNA, 254 nt
Filed under: uncultured bacterium
Lineage: Bacteria
Description: partial 16S ribosomal RNA
Rfam family: Bacterial small subunit ribosomal RNA
Source: RNAcentral